Molecule: transfer RNA, 73 nt
Filed under: Paramuricea clavata
Lineage: Eukaryota; Metazoa; Cnidaria; Anthozoa; Malacalcyonacea; Plexauridae
Description: tRNA-Thr
Rfam family: tRNA
About the family: Transfer RNA (tRNA) molecules are approximately 80 nucleotides in length.
Source: RNAcentral
AUUCGCGUAGCUCAGUUGGAAGAGCAUUGGGCUAGUAUUCCAAAGGUCGUAGGUUCGAAUCCCACCGUGGCCG